UACGUAGGGGGCAAGCGUUGUCCGGAAUCAUUGGGCGUAAAGCGCGUGUAGGCGGUUCAGUAAGUCUGCUGUGAAAGUCCAGGGCUCAACCCUGGGAUGCCGGUGGAUACUGCUGGACUAGAGUGCGGAAGAGGAGUGUGGAAUUCCUGGUGUAGCGGUGAAAUGCGCAGAUAUCAGGAGGAACACCAAUGGCGAAGGCAGCACUCUGGGACGUGACUGACGCUGAGGAGCGAAAGCAUGGGGAGCGAACAGG
This 253-nucleotide ribosomal RNA is filed under the name uncultured bacterium. RNAcentral's name for it is "partial 16S ribosomal RNA". It matches the Rfam family "Bacterial small subunit ribosomal RNA", at positions 524 to 776 of the family's 1533-position model. The record is from RNAcentral.